UACGGAGGGUGCGAGCGUUAAUCGGAAUUACUGGGCGUAAAGCGUGCGCAGGCGGUUUUGUAAGCCAGAUGUGAAAUCCCCGGGCUUAACCUGGGAAUGGCAUUUGGGACUGCAAGGCUGGAGUGCGGCAGAGGAGACUGGAAUUCCUGGUGUAGCAGUGAAAUGCGUAGAUAUCAGGAGGAACACCGAUGGCGAAGGCAGGUCUCUGGGCUGACACUGACGCUCAUGCACGAAAGCGUGGGGAGCAAACGGG
Molecule: ribosomal RNA, 253 nt
Filed under: uncultured bacterium
Lineage: Bacteria
Description: partial 16S ribosomal RNA
Rfam family: Bacterial small subunit ribosomal RNA
Source: RNAcentral